Molecule: long non-coding RNA, 604 nt
Organism: Lycium ferocissimum
Lineage: Eukaryota; Viridiplantae; Streptophyta; Magnoliopsida; Solanales; Solanaceae
Exons: 3
Source: RefSeq, a predicted model, not a curated record
ACCAAGGUAAAUAUCUCUUUCUUCCUUUCAAAUUUGUUUGGUUAGUGUUGGUUCUUCUCUGUUUCUCCUCCUUCUGUCAAUUUCAGUCCUUUCUUUGUUUCAAAAUCUAAUCUUACGCCGACUUUUAGCCAUUUUCAUUCAUCGGUAUGUUUGUGUUUUAUUCUUGACAAUGAUUGUACUUAGAUCCAGUAAAAAAAUUCCCGGAUAAAACACCUGGGCUGAAGUGUUCUACUUGAAUAAAGCUACACCACCGGAGAGAAGCCCGUGGUCGGAGGAGGAAAAAUAUAGGAUUUUGGGACGAUGACGAUGCACAGAAGAUGCAAAAUGACACAUUCAUUCUUGCACCAUUAUUUUAGAAGUCGGGGAAGUGCAAUCGGAGAAUGACAAUGAUAUAAAUAUACCGAGACAUGAUUAAGUUGUUUUUGUACAACUACCUUUAUUUAUAUGUAAUUAGUGGUCAUAAGAUUUAAAUUAUGUACUUUUAAUUUUGAACCCUCCUCGAAUCAUCUUAGCGAUAGGUUGUUUAUAAGUAUUUUUGUUGUAUACAGUCUAAAUUCUCUAAUCAUCAGGCAUUACUUUACAUAUUCUCUAAUUACUACUGUAU